Molecule: small RNA, 27 nt
Filed under: Bombyx mori (domestic silkworm)
Lineage: Eukaryota; Metazoa; Arthropoda; Insecta; Lepidoptera; Bombycidae
Description: ovarian small RNA-11672
Source: RNAcentral
ACUCGAGCGUAUCGCAGUGGCCCGCAU